This 497-nucleotide ribosomal RNA is filed under the name uncultured bacterium. RNAcentral's name for it is "partial 16S ribosomal RNA". It matches the Rfam family "Bacterial small subunit ribosomal RNA", at positions 28 to 507 of the family's 1533-position model. The record is from RNAcentral.
GAUGAACGCUGGCGGCGUGCCUAAUACAUGCAAGUCGAGCGAACAGACGAGGAGCUUGCUCCUCUGACGUUAGCGGCGGACGGGUGAGUAACACGUGGAUAACCUACCUAUAAGACUGGGAUAACUUCGGGAAACCGGAGCUAAUACCGGAUAAUAUAUUGAACCGCAUGGUUCAAUAGUGAAAGACGGUUUUGCUGUCACUUAUAGAUGGAUCCGCGCCGCAUUAGCUAGUUGGUAAGGUAACGGCUUACCAAGGCGACGAUGCGUAGCCGACCUGAGAGGGUGAUCCGCCACACCGGAAAUUAGACAAGGUCCAGAAUCCUACGGGAGGCAGCAGUAGGGAAUCUUCCGCAAUGGGCGAAAGCCUGACGGAGCCACGGCGCGUGAGUGAAGAAGGUCCUCGGAUUGGUAAACUCUGUUAUUAGGGAAGAAAAAAUUUGGAAGUAAACAUGCACGUCCUGACGGGAACCAAUCAAAAAGCCACGGCUAACUACGUG